UUGCCCUAGUAACGGCGAGUGAAGCGGCAACAGCUCAAAUUUGAAAUCUGGCUCUUUUAGAGUCCGAGUUGUAAUUUGCAGAGGGCGCUUUGGCUUUGGCAGCGGUCCAAGUUCCUUGGAACAGGACGUCACAGAGGGUGAGAAUCCCGUACGUGGUCGCUGGCUAUUGCCGUGUAAAGCCCCUUCGACGAGUCGAGUUGUUUGGGAAUGCAGCUCUAAAUGGGAGGUACAUUUCUUCUAAAGCUAAAUAUUGGCCAGAGACCGAUAGCGCACAAGUAGAGUGAUCGAAAGAUGAAAAGCACUUUGGAAAGAGAGUCAAACAGCACGUGAAAUUGUUAAAAGGGAAGCGCUUGCAGCCAGACUUGCUUGCAGUUGCUCAUCCGGGCUUUUGCCCGGUGCACUCUUCUGUAGGCAGGCCAGCAUCAGUUUGGGCGGUAGGAUAAAGGUCUCUGUCACGUACCUCCUUUCGGGGAGGCCUUAUAGGGGAGACGACAUACUACCAGCCUGGACUGAGGUCCGCGCAUCUGCUAGGAUGCUGGCGUAAUGGCUGUAAGCGGCCCGUCUUGAAACACGGACCAAGGAGUCUAACAUCUAUGCGAGUGUUUGGGUGUCAAGCCCGAGCGCGUAAUGAAAGUGAACGGAGGUGGGAACCCGCAAGGGUGCACCAUCGACCGAUCCUGAUGUCUUCGGAAGGAUUUGAGUAAGAGCAUGGCUGUUGGGACCCGAAAGAUGGUGAACUAUGCUUGAAUAGGGUGAAGCCAGAGGAAACUCUCGUGGAGGCUCGCAGCGGUU
Molecule: ribosomal RNA, 792 nt
Filed under: Alternaria sp. 'sect. Ulocladioides'
Lineage: Eukaryota; Fungi; Ascomycota; Dothideomycetes; Pleosporales; Pleosporaceae
Description: partial large subunit ribosomal RNA
Rfam family: Eukaryotic large subunit ribosomal RNA
Source: RNAcentral